RNAcentral lists this ribosomal RNA (301 nucleotides) under uncultured bacterium. Its description in RNAcentral is "partial 16S ribosomal RNA". It matches the Rfam family "Bacterial small subunit ribosomal RNA", at positions 509 to 807 of the family's 1533-position model. The record is from RNAcentral.
CAGCAGCCGCGGGAAUACAGAGGAUGCAAGCGUUAUCCGGAAUGAUUGGGCGUAAAGCGUCUGUAGGUGGCUUUUCAAGUCCGCCGUCAAAUCACAGGGCUCGACCCUGGACAGGCGGUGGAAACUACCAAGCUAGAGUACGGUAGGGGCAGAGGGAAUUUCCGGUGGAGCGGUGAAAUGCGUUGAGAUCGAAAAGAACACCAACGACGAAAGCACUCUGCUGGGUCGACACUGACACUGAGAGACGAAAGCUAGGGGAGCAAAUGGGAUUAGAUACCCCUGUAGUCCCUGUCUCUUAUAC